CCUCCCUAUGAAUUGAGUGCUAUUGAGUCAAGCAGUUCCAGAAGUAAAGUGCAUUUGCGGAGAGCAAAUGAUUAAGCAAAAAGUAUUCAUAUUCUGUCACGUUCAACAACUUCAUUCUAGCACAUUCUCUCCACAUCCUAAAACUUUAUUAAACUGCAAACAGUUAAGAAAAAACACCAUACAAAAUACAACUGGUAAAACUUAUGGCUAUACACACAACCAUUAGUUAUUUUGAUAGAGCACACAAUCACAGAUCAAUACAAUGUUAAAGGCCUUUUCAGUAGUACAAAAAUAUUAGAAACCUUUACAAUUAUCACAUAGAAAAACUUUUUUUAUGGAAAAACUUUUUUUUUAAACGGCAGUGGUUAGACAGAAUGAUGCUCCUCCAUUCUGCUCACCUCUUUCACUCUCAUUUUCUUUCUUUCCAUUCCCUUCUCCCCUCUCCAUCUCUUUUUCACUUUCCCCCUCUCUGUUGCCCCCUCCUACCUUUUUCUCAGAGUUAGAUUUUGAAAGGGAAGGAGGAGUCAUUUUCUCCAGCCCCUCCUCCACUCCCUCAUCAAUGUACAACAGAGGCUCCUUCUCCUCCCAUUUCUCCGCCUCCUUGCUCCCAGCCACUCCAACUGCCCCAUCAGGCAUCGUCCUCUGCUCCUUUCUUCCGCUUGGAACUCUUCCCGUUCCGGACGCUGGACCCAAAGUACUCGGUGCGGCACUGCCUCUUUCGUCUGACGCCCAGAUAUAUGCAGUAGACCAUUCCCAGGCAUAUAACCCAGACCAGGAGACCGACGAUGAUGACCCAGAACAAGCUGAGCGGACUUCGCUCGACCCUGCCCGCCGUAGAGUCUGGAUCUGUGGAGGUGUGGGUCGUAGCAGGGGUUGUGAAAUGGCUGGGAGUGCUGUUGACUGAUGGGGAGGUGGGUGCAGGGGCAGAAACUGAAAGAGGAAGUACACGUGCUAAGGACUAUUCAACGCUGGUCUGACCAAUCAGAAUCUGGGACAUGUUCCAGGUAGCCUCCGAGAACAACAUAGACGAAUACACUGAUAGGGUGACUGGGAUUAUCAUGAAGUGUAUAGGAGAUGCCGGCCCAGACGGCAUCCCUAGCCGCGUCAUCAGAGC
RNAcentral lists this long non-coding RNA (1114 nucleotides) under Salmo salar (Atlantic salmon). Its description in RNAcentral is "lncRNA (ENSSSAG00000121186.1)". The record is from RNAcentral. Lineage: Eukaryota; Metazoa; Chordata; Actinopteri; Salmoniformes; Salmonidae.